Passer domesticus (house sparrow) is the source of this 636-nucleotide long non-coding RNA. RefSeq lists it as uncharacterized. The record is from RefSeq and is a predicted model, not a curated record. The transcript is spliced from 4 exons. NCBI's taxonomy places the organism in Eukaryota, Metazoa, Chordata, Aves, Passeriformes, Passeridae.
GCAUAUCACACCUUAAAUAUUCAGUUCACUUAAAACAAUCUCAUGAAUAAUACAGUUUAAAAUAAAAUAUUUUACUUCUCCUAACAAUGGGUUUUACAGCUUACAAGCUUAGGUCUGAACAUGCAUCAGUCUAUUUUACUUCAAGGAGUAGUGGUGACUUUUUUAGUGAGGUUUGGCUGGUGUUUCUGUUGGUGGAUUUACAGGUCUUCUGUCCUGCCUUUCUUUGCAGCUGAACCUGCUGGUGAAGGUGGUGCAGCUUCCCAAGCCACGUCCAGGACUGAGGCUCUGCGAGAUGCUGAGGCUCAGUGGUGCCCGUGCAGAUCAGCAGAGAUGGCAGAAGCUUCUGUGGCUGUUGAGUUACAGGUGUGUCUGCAGGGAGGACUUCUCCAACUCCUUUGCUGAUUCUUACACGGAAGCCUGCCUCCCAUCCCAGAGGUCCUCUGAGGGGAAAGAACAAAGCUACAGGACACCAGAAACCCCUUGAUCCAUCUGAAAACAUGAGGCAAAUGCUGAAGGAAAUGCAGAAGGCAGGAGAAGGAGAGCCUGUACAGAAGGAAGCAUUUCCCGGAGGAAGCAGUGGUUCCGUGCCAGCCUCUGCUGCAGGAAGGGAGGCCAUGCCAGGCACAGGCACAGGAG